This 240-nucleotide ribosomal RNA is filed under the name Triticum aestivum (bread wheat). RNAcentral describes it as "partial small subunit ribosomal RNA". Lineage: Eukaryota; Viridiplantae; Streptophyta; Magnoliopsida; Poales; Poaceae. The record is from RNAcentral.
AUGUUCCAGAAGCCUGACAUGCGGAGGCCCAUGUUCGUGACUAAGGCCAUGCAGAAGGUGAUCAUCAAGGUGGACGAGGCAGGGACCGAGGCCGCUUCGAUCAUGCGCGGGUUUUGUGGUGGUGGUCUGCCGCCGGACAUGGUUCCGUUUGUUGCCGACCACCCGUUCAGUUUCCUCAUCAUGGAGGAGCGGUCUGGAGUGAUCGUUUUCGCCGGCCAUGUCCUUGACCCUACCAAGUAA